CUGCUACCUCUCGUGCUGCUGCUGCCGUCCUGUGCUCGUGUACAGGCAGGCGCUGGUUGGUUGGUUGGUCUGAGGCUGUGGCCCAGGCACAGGCAGGUCCGGCAACGGGAUGGUCAAGUGCGUAGGGGAAAAGAAGGGACGAGAGGGAAAGGAAAAGGUGACACUGCGGUCGGCGUCCGGCGAGAGACGUUCAUGUCGACUGGGAGAAUCAGCGACGCGAUUCGUUGCGAAGGAACAGUGCGAUUCCGUGACUCGUGGGAUCCUUGUCUACCGUUGCCGUGGUUUCGCGCGCUGUUCGUCGCGGCAGCCAAAUUCCGCCUGGAAGUGGAGAUUUGGAUGAGAAGAAAAAACGCUAGAAAAAAAAAAUCAUCCAUCGCCGCUUGCGACUCCGGGCGGCGCCGCCGCCGCCGUCUGCCGCCGCCACCGCCACCGCCACCGCCACCGCCGCCGCUCUACUCCCCAGAUCUACACACACCAGCCUGCUUCGCUCCCGUUCCAUGCCCAAAACUUGCAGAUCACUUGCGCCUCAAACAAGCUAGGGUAGUCGUCGGGGGGAGGGGGGCGCUUGCUGCUCCCUCCGCCGGCACCAUCUCCAGUCCCGGUGCCGUCUCUCCCUGCUGGAUCCGGAGUCGCGCCUCCACUUUCUUCAUCCUGGUCGAGCCGAGCCACCUUGGGAUCUACCGUUGCUGCCUUUAUACUGUGUUCAAGCACAAUAGCAUUGAUAAUGCACUGCAAAGUGUUGUUGGACACAAGAGAGAGGUGCAUGAUCUAACACCAAAGAAGAAUAUAGGACGUGAAGAUACACAUUCUAGGGCAAAGAAGAUUGGGAAGGCCAGACCCGAUUCUCCAUAUGCUAACUUCACCAAUAGCCAACUGUUAACAACUUCCCGGUUCUAG
This 897-nucleotide long non-coding RNA is filed under the name Oryza sativa Indica Group (long-grained rice). Its description in RNAcentral is "lncRNA OsMH63_02G030100". Lineage: Eukaryota; Viridiplantae; Streptophyta; Magnoliopsida; Poales; Poaceae. The record is from RNAcentral.